RNAcentral lists this ribosomal RNA (116 nucleotides) under Danio rerio (zebrafish). The record is from RNAcentral. Lineage: Eukaryota; Metazoa; Chordata; Actinopteri; Cypriniformes; Danionidae.
GCCAGCGGCUAUCUCUUUUUCAAUUCUCACAUGGUUGCCCACUGAAGCUAAGCAAGGUUGCACUCGGUCAGUACCUAAAUGGGAGACCACAUGGGAAAGCUAGGUUGCUGCUGGAA